RNAcentral lists this ribosomal RNA (468 nucleotides) under uncultured bacterium. RNAcentral's name for it is "partial 16S ribosomal RNA". It matches the Rfam family "Bacterial small subunit ribosomal RNA", at positions 28 to 507 of the family's 1533-position model. The record is from RNAcentral.
GACGAACGCUGGCGGCGUGCUUAACACAUGCAAGUCGAACGGAAAGGGCCUGCUUUUGUGGGAUGCUCGAGUAGCGAACGGGUGAGUAACACGUGAGUAACCUGCCCUUGACGAUGGGAUAACUUCAGGAAACUGGGGCUAAUACCGGAUAGGAGCUCCUGCUGCAUGGUGGGGGUUGGAAAGUUUCGGCGGUUGGGGAUGGACUCGCGGCUUAUCAGCUUGUUGGUGGGGUAGUGGCUUACCAAGGCUUUGACGGGUAGCCGGCCUGAGAGGGUGACCGGCGACAAUGCGACUGAGGGACGGCCCAGACUCCUACGGGAGACAGCAGUGGGGAAUAUUACACAGUAGGCGGAAGCGUAAUGCAGCAGCGCCGCGUGCGGGAUGACGGCCUUCGGGUUGUAAACCGCUUUCGCCUGUGACGAAGCGUGAGUGACGGUAAUGGGUAAAGAAGCACCGGCUAACUACGUG